Molecule: long non-coding RNA, 1733 nt
Filed under: Nicotiana tabacum (common tobacco)
Lineage: Eukaryota; Viridiplantae; Streptophyta; Magnoliopsida; Solanales; Solanaceae
Description: long non-coding RNA (NTAB_LNC003980)
Source: RNAcentral
GGAAUUCUCAAAUUUUUUCUGACAUCCAUCCCUUGUCAAAAAGUUUGACUUUAUGGAAAGACACUGACAUAAUCCAAGCAAGGAACUUAGAAAUCUUAUAAAGAUAUAAUCCACUUACCACUGCCUGCUGAUAUUUCUUCCAUCAAAACUGUUGUCGAUUAAUGUCAUUUUCAUCAAAUCUCCCUCCAUUAACAGCAAACAGCAAGCAAUAACCUGUAUAGUUAUAUGGUUGCUUCACUACAGGUCUCUACAUUAGGGACAAUCAGUAAAUUAGAGAAGCCUGCACUGUCAGAUGCAGAAGCAUCUUUUCACAUGGCAACACAACUGAAAGCAUCAGCAUCAUUAGACUGACAGCAUUUAGAAUAUAUAAAAAGGAUGAAAAUGAGGAAAAUCAGGUACCAAGUAACAGGUAAAAUAGUAGUUACAGCUACCUAAAGAAAAUUCAAACUCAGUUUCUGCUUAUGUACCAGGAGUAUCAAACAGGAAGGUGAAAAAAGGUAAGAAAAACACUGAACAAAAUGUCUAUGUGGUGCAACUUGAAGAUUUUGAAAGGAUUAGCCCCCCAAAGAGUGACCUUUUUAACCAUCAUUUUCAUUUAUGAGGAACAAAACCUAAAUUUUGUCCAGUUAUACCAAAGUUUCAACUAGCCAGUUCUUGCUAUCAGGGAAGGCAACGGAAUCAAAGAAAAUCCAUUAGCUUUACCCAAAGUAAAAACACCUUUACCUUUAGAAAAUUAUAUUAUACGACUAGCAUGCAUCUUUUUUUUAAAAGAAAGAACUUUCAUUCUAUACAAACAGCAGUAAACUCCCAAGACAAUGGCAAGGCUAUGCAUUGAACAAAUGUCCAAUCUUACUCUCAGGGAAACACUAAGAUAUUCUCAAGCACUAGCAUGCACCUAUAACAUGCUCAGAGUUCUAAUCUUAACAGAAAACACCAAGUCAACUCCUUUUCAAUCAAAGUCUAGGGUUCAGGUACAUGCUACACUUCAUCUAAAGCGGAAAUCAGCUCCAUUGCAAAGGAGUUCAAACAACUAGGUGGACAUGGCACUUAAAGGACAUAAUGGAGCUUCAACAACCAAAUUUUGUUAGCAUAUACAAAAUUUACUCCUAUGCCACAAGUUGUUGUAGCUAUCCCUAUCCCCUAUGGCGCAAGUGAAACCAGAGAAAUUUCCUUCAGAAGCUAGAGGUUUAUUUAGAAUAGUUCCAUAAGAAAACGGAGAUGACCUACCCAUGUAGAUCAUGUAUUAUACGUGGGUGAAUAAUUUACCAUUACCUCACCGAAACACCGGCAAGCCAAAGUUCCCAUACCCACUGUCAGAAUAGUGCAAAACCAAAUGCUGUAACCAAACACUAGAUAUAUCUUCUUACCAAUAAAAAAAAGGUUGUAAGCAAACACACAGCACUCCAUAAUUUUUUCAAUCAACAAGACCAUUCCAGAGUUCUAGAACAGUUUAACACAACCUAAAAAUCCCUGACAUCCCCAGAGUUCUCGAAUAGUUUAACACAAUCUAAAGUUCCUGAUGCCCCACAACUGCACAGGUUAGGUCCCUUAUCUAGUUGGAACAAGUGCACGGUUUAGGUCCUUAAUCUGGUUGGGUAGUUUAUAGACUGAAAAAGAAGCAGCUCCCUACUUUACCUGCAGAGUAGAUAUCAGAAAUUAGGAGAAAACAAUUAACUCCAAGCAAAAGUAUUAGUAAGAUGGUUUCAUACCUGUGUAGGGAAGCUCAUCACGAG